CACCAUUGGAGUCUCCGCACCAUCGUUCCCUUGUCGAAUCUGUCGCUUCCCUUACCAGAUCUGCUCUCCCCAUGUCGGAUCCAUCAUUCCCUUGUCAGAUCCUCUGCUCUCAUUGUCGGAUCCACCACCCCCUUGUCGGAUCCACCUUCCCAUGUUGGAUCGCUAUCUCCAUCCCUGCACCAUUGUUCCUGCACCGUCAGCAUCUCUGGGCCUAUAUUUUCAUACUUUUGAUGAGUAUUAGCGAUGAUGGCGGCGACAGCAGUUGAGCCAUUGCUUAAAUUUUUUUUAUUUUAAUAUAUUAAUUAAUUUUAAUUAGAUAAUUAAUUAAUUAAUUAGGUAUUAAUUUAAUUAAUUAAUUAAUUAUUUUAUUUAACUAUGAUUAGGGC
RNAcentral lists this long non-coding RNA (386 nucleotides) under Elaeis guineensis (African oil palm). RNAcentral describes it as "long non-coding RNA (EGUI_LNC008984)". Lineage: Eukaryota; Viridiplantae; Streptophyta; Magnoliopsida; Arecales; Arecaceae. The record is from RNAcentral.